CCAAAUGCUGUCAGAUUGUCCUACUAGUAUAAAUUAAACAAGUAGGAUAACCUUAAGGUGCAAAAUGCUGUUAGAUUGUCCUACUAGUAUAAAUUAAACAAGUAGGAUGACCUGAAAGUGCAAAAUGCUUUCAGAUUGUCCUACUAGUAUAAAUUAAAGUACCGGAUUUUCUAUUUGGAUUUACUCUCCAUAGCCUUUGACCAGACAAGGCCCACCUGCAAGGCAGCAGGAAACUCGUGGAAGGCGGGGUCGUUCAUUUCCCGUGCAGAUGCGAGGCAUCUGCCCACUGCCCACGAUUGUGCUAUUAGUAUGAAUUAAACAGGUAGGAUAACCUGAAGGUGCAAAAUCUGUUAGGAUGUCCUACUAGUUUAAAUUAAACAGGUAGGAUGACCUGAAGGUGCAAAAUGCUGUUAGAUUGUCCUACUAGUAUAAAUUAAACAAGUUGGAUGACCGGAAAAUGCUAAAUGCUUUCAGAUUAUCCAACUUUUUUGGCCCGCC
Misgurnus anguillicaudatus (oriental weatherfish) is the source of this 498-nucleotide non-coding RNA. Lineage: Eukaryota; Metazoa; Chordata; Actinopteri; Cypriniformes; Cobitidae. The record is from RefSeq and is a predicted model, not a curated record.